GAUGAACGCUGGCGGCGUGCCUAAUACAUGCAAGUCGAGCGAACAGACGAUGAGCUUGCUCCUCUGACGUUAGCGGCGGACGGGUGAGUAACACGUGUAUCACCUCCCUAUCAGUCUGGGAUAACUUCGGGACAGCGGAUCUAAUACCGGAUAAUAUCUUGAACCGCAUGGUUCAAUAGUGAAAGACGGCUUUGCUGUCACUUAUAGCUGGAUCUGCGCGGCAUUAGCUAGUUGGUACGUUCACGGCUUACCAAGGCUACGAUGCGUAGACGACCUGAGAGGCUGAUAGGCCACCCGGGAGCUGGACCGGGGACCAGACUACUACGAGAGGGAGCAGUAGGGAAUGUGCCGCAGUGGGCGAAAGCCUGACGGAACAGCGCCACGUGAGAGAUGACGGUGUCCGGAUCGUGAAAAUCUGUUAUUAGGGAAGAACAGAUGUGUAAGUAGCUGUGCACGUCGUGACGGUACCUGAUAAGAAAGCCACGGCUAACUACGUG
RNAcentral lists this ribosomal RNA (497 nucleotides) under uncultured bacterium. Its description in RNAcentral is "partial 16S ribosomal RNA". It matches the Rfam family "Bacterial small subunit ribosomal RNA", at positions 28 to 507 of the family's 1533-position model. The record is from RNAcentral.